This 451-nucleotide ribosomal RNA is filed under the name uncultured bacterium. RNAcentral describes it as "bacterial SSU rRNA". It matches the Rfam family "Bacterial small subunit ribosomal RNA", at positions 100 to 565 of the family's 1533-position model. The record is from RNAcentral.
GGACGGGUGAGUAACGCGUGAGCGACCAACCUUGCACAGGGGGAUAACGGACCGAAAGGUUCACUAAUACCGCAUGAGACCACGGUGUUGCAUGACACAGGGGUCAAAGGAGCAAUCCGGUGCAAGACGGGCUCGCGUCCGAUUAGGUAGUUGGAGGGGUAACGGCCCACCAAGCCUAUGAUCGGUAGCCGACCUGAGAGGGUGAUCGGCCACAUUGGAACUGAGAUACGGUCCAAACUCCUACGGGAGGCAGCAGUGGGGAAUAUUGGGCAAUGGGGGAAACCCUGACCCAGCAACGCCGCGUGAAGGAAGAAGGUUUUCGGAUUGUAAACUUCUGUCCUUGGUGAAGAGAAGAAGACGGUAGCCAAGGAGGAAGCCCCGGCUAACUACGUGCCAGCAGCCGCGGUAAUACGUAGGGGGCAAGCGUUGUCCGGAAUGAUUGGGCGUAAAG